Podarcis lilfordi (Lilford's wall lizard) is the source of this 4175-nucleotide non-coding RNA. NCBI's taxonomy places the organism in Eukaryota, Metazoa, Chordata, Lepidosauria, Squamata, Lacertidae. The record is from the annotation of a GenBank genome assembly.
UUGUCAGAGUUGAAAAUCCCUGUGGAGAAAUGUAGAAGAAUAGCCAAUACUCUUGGAGAGAGGCGUGGUUACUGAUUGUGCCACACCCUUUGAGAAUCCCUGGUCUAAGCAGAUAUAAUUCCUAAAGUAUGGUACAUGGGGGUUAAUCCAUGGUUUUGCACAUCCCUCCUAGAUUGUCUAUAAAAAAGUAUCUUUAGUUGCAAACCAGUUGCUUAUAUCAACUGGCUAGCUUGUUAUUAUUGUUCUCGUUCAGGAAACGCAUGCACUUCAAAAUGGGAAUCUUGGUUUUAAAUCAGCGCUUUAAAUUGCCUUGAUUUUUAAAUUAAUCCCUCCCAAUCGGUACCUGUCAUCCUCAUUACAAUGCAGUCUGGAGUAAUAUUGAGUGACACUGCAACAUGAAUGUGUCAGGGAGCAAACAAUGAAGUAUGUAAUUCUAUCUCGCGUUAAUUCAGAGUGUCACAGAUGGUGUGAUGGUUAUAGAGCAAUCUAUAAAAAAUGACCCAGGAGGACAGAGAGCGCUGGCACAAUGACUUAUUCCCCAGUUAUUUAGCCCUUUAGGAUCUGAUACGAAAACAGAUAGUCCACUCUGCACGAUCUACCUACUGGCAAACCUUGGCUGACUGGCCGAAUUCCUUAACCUCAGACAUACAAACUUAGAUGUGUGUUUUUCUUUUGCAAAGCACUCCUAAUAUUUAUUGCCCUCUCACUCCAGCUUCUUUCUGUGUCUCUGACUUUACUUUUUUGCUCCCACUAUCCAGAGUUUCUCUCUCUAUUAUUCCAGUUCACUGUAUGGACAGGGGGGUGUGUGUGUGUGUGUGUGUGUGUGUGUGUGUGUGUGUGUGUAAGCCCUCUGCUCCUUAGGAAGAACAGGUUCAAAUCCCAACAGAGAUAAUGUCAGCCCUUCAGAUAUCCAAGGUAGACUAAUUGGACUCAAUGAUGCUCCCGUCUUUAUGCUUCUUGUCAAUCUUUAGACAACUCCCAUCAUGCCCCUGGAUUAAUGAGCAGAGAGUGAAGGCUGUGGAUCGGAGGAUGAAGAGCGAUGCGUUCUUAGGUUUUGCUUUCGCUAAACCUUUCAUAAUAAAACAGGUUGUUUCUGUUGUCCAUGCCUCCAGCAUACGGCAUAAAAAUAAGAGGGGCACAUUGGACUUGCUGGUAUUUUAAUGAACUGAAUGGCUCGGGGCUUGCAUGCUUAAGAGAUAGCCUCUCCUCCUGUGAGCUCCUUAGCCAGUUGAGGUCCUCAUUCUAGGCUCUGCCCAGUGUGAUUGAGCUUUGCAAGGUUAUAUCAUCACUGGGUAGAAGGAGGGCCUUGGAGGACAAGGUUAUCCACCGCAUAUCUAGCAAAACACCCUACUUUCCACAGUAACCAAACAUAUGCUUCCCUUUCUGCACUUCCAGAUAACUCUUAUUCUAUAGCGCAGGUCAUAUUUUGCCCAUCUGGCCUACAAGGUCUUCCCAACCCAAGCCACAAUCACGUCACAUUUGACAUCAGGUGUUGAGUGUCUGGAGCUUGCACAGCCAAUCCCCAAAGGAAGCUGGGUUGAAUUCCAUGCAUCAGUUGAUUCCUGCUUGGUCACUUUCCCCCACCCACCUGCCGUCCUCAACCUUGACAGGGUCAUCUACCUGCCAAUCAUCUGAUGUCAUCAUGAUGCCAGAUAAUUGGCAAGUAAUUGUUCCUUUGGGGUGGGGUGAGAUAAAGAUCUGGUCUGCUGAACCUGAAAGGUUUCCCACCCCUGCUAUAGUGGUAUUCAAAGGUAUGAGGAAGGUAAACGUAAGGUAAGGUAAAGGACCCCUGGAUGUCAAAGGCGACUAUGGGGUUACCGCGCUCAUCUUGCUUUCAGGCCGAGGGAGUGGGCGUUUGUCCACAGACAGCUUUCCGUGUCAUGUGGCCAGCAUGACUAAACCGCUUCUGGCGCACUGGAACACCGUGACAAAAACCAGAGCACACGGAAACGCCGUUUACCUUCCCGCCGCAGCGGUAUCUGUUUAUCUACUUGCACUGGUGUGCUUUUGAACUGCUAGGUUGGCAGGAGCUGGGACAGAGCAAUGGGAGCUCACUCCGUUGCAGGGAUUCGAACCGCCAACCCAAGAGGCUCAGGGGUUUAGACCACAGCGCUAACCGCGUCCCUAUUCAAAGGUAUACCGCCUCUUAAACAUGGAGGUUCUAUGUAGCUAAUAUAUUGGCUAAGAGCCAUUGAAUUUGCAUAGUUCCUUCUUAAUGUCAUAUUAAAAUAGUGCAUUUAUACAGAAUGCUUAAAAAUAUUUUAAACAGCUUUUUAAAAAACUACUAGUGAUACUGGGUUGAUGUUGAUCUGAACUGGCAAGUCUUCAGGUGCGAAAGCAUUAAUUUCUUUGCCAAAAUAAGUGAUCCUCCUUUCCCCUAUAGAUGCAAAUUUGACAGUUAAAUAUUUAGCACUUGCAAUUGACGAGACAGAAGCCCCUAAUUACAUCAGUUCUUAGUUUUUGAAAUUCUUAACCCAGCGAUUAGCUAAUCCAGCUCAUCUGGAAUUAAAUUCUCUGGACAUGUCAUUUCAUAAUUUCAGUAUUUUUUCCCUCCCUAAUUUUGCAGCUGUGCUUGGACUGAUUUUUGGGGGAUUUUUUUUUUUUAAGGCUGACUUGGACCACAUCGACACCACACCUUUAAAGCACUAUGACACCGCUUUAAACAGCCAUGACUUUCCCCAAAGAAUUAUGGGAGCUGUAGUUUGUUGGAAGGGUGCCUAGAGUUGCUAGGAGAGCCCUGUUUCCCUCAUAGAGCUGUAAUUCGCAGAGCUGCCUUUGAAGAUUGCCAAACCAUUCUGGGAAUCUACCAAAAAAGAAAAGAGAACAGUGUGUACAUUAAAAAACAACAAAAAACCUAUUUAUAUACAGUUCCCAUGCAUUGGCAGGAUUGUGUGAAAAGAACAGGCAGAGGCUAUAUUGCUUUCUCCUCACCGAAGGCCUACCAUUGUUCUGCUUCAACAUCCUAGUGAUUAUCAGGUUGGGUUUUUUCUUUUUCCUUUUUAAGUCUUGCCCUGAAUGCAUCCAUGUGCUCAGUCUGCCUUAUUGCAUGCAUGAAGUUUGUGUUUGUGUGUUGUGUAUAUGUACACACACAUACACACCCUUAUGUUUUACCACGUGAGAUCAAAGCUUUAAAAUAUAUAGGGAUAAAUCACAACAGCAGGAUUAACUGAUGAUAAUAAAAUAACCCUGGCUUUGCUAAGGAAUGAGAAACUGUUAUUUCUAUUUAUUCCUUAGCAGAUCAAAUCAAACUUGUUUGGUUCUAGUUUGGCGGUUCUGCGCUGGAGAGUCUCCCAUCCCUUGAAAUUUAUUUCUAGGGAAAAUGCCAUUUCCAAAAUACAAAUGUUAUAGUUACUUUCUUUUUUCUUUCUCUCUCCCCGCUUGCCUGCCACUCUUCAGUCGGAGGAGAGGCCACUUCUUUAGACUUGACACCCCUCUGUGAAAAUUUGAUUGCCAUGGCUACCCUGUUUGUUGGUGCCAUUCUGCCAUUUACUAAACCUGGCUUCGGGUCCCUUUUAGCAGAAUAGCUUGGGAUCUUACAAGUUUGCUAAUGCAGAAUUCAUGAUGGUGAUUGGUGGGGGUUUUUUUGGGGGGGAGGGUGAUAUAUAGCCUGUAUCACUUGUGUGCAGCUACAAGUAUAAGAGGGGUGUGUUUGUGUUUGUAUUCACCCGCACAUACGUGGUGUGUAUCAACGCACACAGCUUUCCUACGUCUAAUAACAGCGUCGGAGGGCUGUCUGGCCAACAUUAAAGAACUUCAAGGUGAAGCUUGCAAAUCUUAGCUGACACCCCAGCCUUGAUUCUGCCAUUUCUGCCAAAAGGCUUAAUGGUGGGAGAGAAAGCUGGCGUGUCAGCACUAAUUUUCAGCAUUAACUGUGAAUUUCCUGGCUUUUGUGUGUAUCUAAGUCGGGGCUCUUAUCUUACCAGUGCCUCUGCCCCCACCAAACACCAGUCUCUCCAAAAGAGCUUUGCAGGACAAUAGUCAAGGAAUUAACUCCCUGCAGCUUAAGGUGCAAGGCACUAAUUUCUUUUUUAAUUUUCAAAAUAACGACCAGGAGAUAUUGGAGUUGAUGAGACCCACUGUGUAGAAGUGCUUGUUGUUGUUACAAUUUAUCUAUUGAUCUCCUUCCAAACCACCAUUUGAAGGUGACUUACACACAAGGUAACUAGGAAAAGUUU